AAAAAACAAAAUAAUAAUACACAGAAUGAAAAUGAUGUGGAAAGUGUUAAUGAAAUUGAAAAACAUGGAACAAAGAAUACGGAAGCUAGAGUAAAUAUCGGCGCAGAACACUAUACUCCUGCGGCGGAUUAUUGACAUAUUUCCACAGAUUAAGAUUGAAUUGAUGAUAUUUCCUAUUAAAAACAUGAAUGAUUUAGCAUCUACAGAGUCCUUGCUUUUGAAUAAGCCUGAGGAAGAAAUUGUGGCGUAUCUGAAGCAAAAAUUUUCAAAGAGACCCCUAUCAAAAAUUUUGGAUGAAGUGAUUGCGGAGUCCCUGCUCUUAAAAGUGAAUUGGGAUGGAGCCAAAAAAAAAAGUUGCAUUGAAGAAUUAUGCACUUUUCAAUAAAUUUCUUUACGGCCUUAAAAGAUGAUUACUCAUACCCUGAUUUUGAGGCAAAGAUCAAAAAGGCGUUUCUCAAAUGUCAGUUCUACAGGAACACUUGUAAUAUAAAAAAACUAGAUUUCAU
Molecule: long non-coding RNA, 506 nt
Organism: Zeugodacus cucurbitae (melon fly)
Lineage: Eukaryota; Metazoa; Arthropoda; Insecta; Diptera; Tephritidae
Exons: 3
Source: RefSeq, a predicted model, not a curated record